UUUAUUUAACCAAAGUUUAAUAGAACUAUGAAACAGAAUGUGGUUCAUUAUGUCAUUCCACGAUAUCAUAGGAGAAUUGUGUUUGACCAUUUUUCUGUUGAGAUUCAUCCAUAGAUUCAGGGCGUCGUUGUUGGAAGCAUACGAAAACUGUGGUUAUCCCGCAACAGUAACAUUAUUCUGUUAUAUAAUUCUAUUUUAAUCACUAAUGAUGCCAUCGUCAUACUUUUAAG
This 230-nucleotide long non-coding RNA is filed under the name Vigna radiata. RNAcentral's name for it is "long non-coding RNA (VRAD_LNC010752)". The record is from RNAcentral. Lineage: Eukaryota; Viridiplantae; Streptophyta; Magnoliopsida; Fabales; Fabaceae.